This 493-nucleotide ribosomal RNA is filed under the name uncultured organism. Its description in RNAcentral is "SSU rRNA". It matches the Rfam family "Bacterial small subunit ribosomal RNA", at positions 31 to 509 of the family's 1533-position model. The record is from RNAcentral.
GAACGCUGGCGGCGUGCUUAACACAUGCAAGUCGAACGGAACUUUUCUCCCGACGAAGCGGAGAGCUUGCUCGAAGCAGAGUCAUUUGAAAAGUUUAGUGGCGGACGGGUGAGUAACGCGUGGGUAACCUGCCAUAUACAGGGGGAUAACACUUAGAAAUAGGUGCUAAUACCGCAUAAGCGCACAGUAUCGCAUGAUACAGUGUGAAAAACUGAGGUGGUAUAUGAUGGACCCGCGUCUGAUUAGCUGGUUGGUGAGGUAGAAGCUCACCAAGGCGACGAUCAGUAGCCGGCCUGAGAGGGUGAACGGCCACAUUGGGACUGAGACACGGCCCAAACUCCUACGGGAGGCAGCAGUGGGGAAUAUUGCACAAUGGGGGAAACCCUGAUGCAGCGACGCCGCGUGAGUGAAGAAGUAUUUCGGUAUGUAAAGCUCUAUCAGCAGGGAAGAAAAUGACGGUACCUGACUAAGAAGCCCCGGCUAACUACGUGCC